RNAcentral lists this ribosomal RNA (206 nucleotides) under uncultured bacterium. RNAcentral describes it as "partial 16S ribosomal RNA". It matches the Rfam family "Bacterial small subunit ribosomal RNA", at positions 568 to 774 of the family's 1533-position model. The record is from RNAcentral.
CGCGCAGGCGGCUUGGUAAGUCAGAUGUGAAAGCCCACGGCUUAACCGUGGAAGUGCAUUUGAAACUGUCAAGCUUGAGUAUCAGAGGGGAAAGUGGAAUUCCUGGUGUAGAGGUGAAAUUCGUAGAUAUCAGGAGGAAUACCAGUGGCGAAGGCGACUUUCUGGCUGAAUACUGACGCUGAGGCGCGAAAGCGUGGGAGCAAACA